CAGCUGGAUUAUCCCAUUACCUUCACUAUGGUGCCCAGGCAGCUGAAUUAUCCCAUAACCCUCACUGUGGUGCCCAGGCAGCCAGAUUAUCCCAUAACCCUCACUGUGGUGCCCAGGCAGCCGGAUUAUCCCAUAACCCUCACUGUGGUGCCCAGGCAGCCGGAUUAUCCCAUAACCCUCACUGUGGUGCCCAGGCAGCCGGAUUACCCCAUUAACUUCAGUGUGGUGCCCAG
RNAcentral lists this non-coding RNA (233 nucleotides) under Pan troglodytes (chimpanzee). Lineage: Eukaryota; Metazoa; Chordata; Mammalia; Primates; Hominidae. The record is from RNAcentral.